AACGCAUACUGCGCUCCUGGGUGACUAGGAGCAUGUCUGCCUGAGUGUCAUUUAUACAACUUCACUUGAAAUCCUUAAAACCGAUUUCCCAAGUGGAUAUGCCAGUCUCUUAGCCAUAAGAGUCUAGUGAAAUGUAUUAGAGUAAACUUCUUUUCUUGAAAGAGAAAGGGAAGCAAGUCAAAGGGGGACACUUAUAUGUUCCUUCCUUUUUCUCUUUUCUUUUCUUCUUACCUGUUUCUCAUCCUUGUAAUGAGGUAGAAUAUAUACAACAUUACAACCAUAGGCUAAGGAAUCAGUGUUAACGAAGAUACCAAUGGGAAAAGUUAAAAGGGCAAGGGGCAAGUCGCCUUUCAAUAUUUGACCUCAGGUCAGGCAAGACUACCCGCUGAACUUAA
RNAcentral lists this unclassified non-coding RNA (395 nucleotides) under uncultured fungus. RNAcentral's name for it is "partial contains 5.8S ribosomal RNA, internal transcribed spacer 2, and large subunit ribosomal RNA". Lineage: Eukaryota; Fungi. The record is from RNAcentral.